RNAcentral lists this ribosomal RNA (443 nucleotides) under uncultured bacterium. Its description in RNAcentral is "partial 16S ribosomal RNA". It matches the Rfam family "Bacterial small subunit ribosomal RNA", at positions 338 to 795 of the family's 1533-position model. The record is from RNAcentral.
CCUACGGGUGGCAGCAGUGGGGAAUAUUGGGCAAUGGGCGCAAGCCUGACCCAGCAACGCCGCGUGAAGGAAGAAGGCUUUCGGGUUGUAAACUUCUUUUCUCAGGGACGCAGAAAGUGACGGUACCUGAGGAAUAAGCCACGGCUAACUACGUGCCAGCAGCCGCGGUAAGACGUAGGUGGCAAGCGUUAUCCGGAUUUAGUGGGGGUAAAGGGCGUGUAGGCGGGAGCGCAAGUCAGAUGUGAAAACUCAGGGCCCAACCCUGAGCCUGCAUUUGAAACUGUCUUUCUUGAGUGCUGGAGAGGUAAGCGGAAUGCCGGGUGUAGCGGUGAAAUGCGUAGAUAUACGGAGGAACACCAGUGGCGAAGGCGGAUUGCUGGCCAGUAACUGACGCUGAGGCGCGAAAGCGUGGGGAGCAAACAGGAUUAGAUACCCGUGUAGUC